UCUUGGCCUGCUGAUUUUCUAGGGGGAGCUUGCUGAUGACGGUUUUCCUGAUGCGAACGAGGCUGUCUCUGGGAAUGGCUGCUGCUUUCAACAGGGGAGCUCUGAUGUUUACCAAACCACAGAUUAUGUCUGCAUAAAACAUCCUGCUUUGUUCCUGAGCCCUGAGGAGUUCAUUUAACGCCCCCACCCCGCAGUCCAGCGGACAGUGCUUGGUCCUGGUGUACGUUUCCCGUGUGAAGACUGCGGCACGCUUUCAGAAGCAUAGUGCGCCAUCAUCCUCCAUUGUCACCCUGCUGUCCUUGCCACACCAGGCAACAGAGAGAGCAGCCAGAAUGUGAAGC
Fukomys damarensis (Damara mole-rat) is the source of this 341-nucleotide long non-coding RNA. RefSeq lists it as uncharacterized. NCBI's taxonomy places the organism in Eukaryota, Metazoa, Chordata, Mammalia, Rodentia, Bathyergidae. The transcript has 3 exons. The record is from RefSeq and is a predicted model, not a curated record.